GUGGGGAAUUUUGGACAAUGGGGGCAACCCUGAUCCAGCCAUGCCGCGUGCGGGAAGAAGGCCUUCGGGUUGUAAACCGCUUUUAGCCGGGAAGAAAAGGCCGCUCCUAACAGGGGUGGUUUUUGACGGUACCGGCGGAAUAAGCACCGGCUAACUACGUGCCAGCAGCCGCGGUAAUACGUAGGGUGCGAGCGUUAAUCGGAAUUACUGGGCGUAAAGCGUGCGCAGGCGGUUCGUUGUGUCGGUGGUGAAAGCCCCGGGCUCAACCUGGGAAUGGCCAUGGAAACUGGCGAACUGGAGUGUGGCAGAGGGGGGUGGAAUUCCGCGUGUAGCAGUGAAAUGCGUAGAGAUGCGGAGGAACACCGAUGGCGAAGGCAGCCCCCUGGGCUAGCACUGACGCUCAGGCACGAAAGCGUGGGGAGCAAACAGGAUUAGAAACCCCAGUAGUCC
RNAcentral lists this ribosomal RNA (450 nucleotides) under uncultured bacterium. RNAcentral's name for it is "bacterial SSU rRNA". It matches the Rfam family "Bacterial small subunit ribosomal RNA", at positions 354 to 796 of the family's 1533-position model. The record is from RNAcentral.